GCUGGGAUAGCUCAACGGUAGAGCAAUUGCCUUACAAGCAAAAGGUUAUCGGUUCAAAUCCGAUUCUUAGCA
RNAcentral lists this transfer RNA (72 nucleotides) under Paenibacillus roseus. It matches the Rfam family "tRNA". Rfam says of the family: Transfer RNA (tRNA) molecules are approximately 80 nucleotides in length. Their secondary structure includes four short double-helical elements and three loops (D, anti-codon, and T loops). Lineage: Bacteria; Bacillati; Bacillota; Bacilli; Caryophanales; Paenibacillaceae. The record is from Rfam by way of RNAcentral.